GCUGGUUGGUGCCUGAAAUCUGUGCGUUGCCCCUUUAAUUGUGUCCCCAGCCCUCGGGCGUUUCUGUCCAACGCCCACGUCAGCAAAUACCUUUUGUUUCUCUCACGUUGGGGCUACUUGUUUUAGGGCGCAAAGGAACGGCCUCGAAAGGGGGUCCUUCCCCAACCGAGAACCAGGAAUCUUCCCUCGGCCCGCGCGCGCGACCGGCCGGUGCGCCGCGGCCCGCGGACAAUCCUCCAAACACAGACUGUUUGACUUAGAAUCUUCCCUUUUUACUCCAUUCAAGAGCAGCAUUCAUAAAUUUCCAG
RNAcentral lists this long non-coding RNA (308 nucleotides) under Pongo abelii (Sumatran orangutan). RNAcentral describes it as "lncRNA (ENSPPYG00000036189.1)". Lineage: Eukaryota; Metazoa; Chordata; Mammalia; Primates; Hominidae. The record is from RNAcentral.